RNAcentral lists this ribosomal RNA (305 nucleotides) under uncultured bacterium. RNAcentral describes it as "bacterial SSU rRNA". It matches the Rfam family "Bacterial small subunit ribosomal RNA", at positions 333 to 654 of the family's 1533-position model. The record is from RNAcentral.
UUAAUCCUACGGGAGGCAGCAGUCGGGAAUAUUGCGCAAUGGAGGAAACUCUGACGCAGUGACGCCGCGUAUGGGAAGAAGGUUUUCGGAUUGUAAACCAUUGUCGUUAGGGAAGAAGAAGUGACAGUACCUAAGGAGGAAGCUCCGGCUAACUAUGUGCCAGCAGCCGCGGUAAUACAUAGGGAGCGAGCGUUAUCCGGAUUUACUGGGUGUAAAGGGUGCGUAGGCGGCCUGCUAAGUCUGGAGUGAAAGGUACCGGCUCAACCGGUACAGGCUCUGGAAACUGGCGGGCUAGAGCGCAGGAG